Molecule: ribosomal RNA, 879 nt
Filed under: Triticum aestivum (bread wheat)
Lineage: Eukaryota; Viridiplantae; Streptophyta; Magnoliopsida; Poales; Poaceae
Description: partial small subunit ribosomal RNA
Source: RNAcentral
AUGCAGGCGCUCCUACUCCCAUCGCGGCUGCCGCCGCCGCUGCUCCGGCAGCGAGGGCUUCCCGCUGUUGCGUCGCUCGCCAGCCAUCCCCUCAACGGAGCUACCCUCCCUACUGGGCGCCUCUGCUUCGGGGGCGGCGAAGCCGCUCCACGGCGCCUCACUGUGGCGGCGGCGGCGUCCUCGUCUUCGUCGGGCCCUCUCUACCCGCCGCCUCCCCCCACCGAGCAGACAAUUGAGCGCGCCAAGCUCGAGCAGGUUAUCAAGAGGCUAGAGAAAACAGCUAGGUAUUUCAAGAAUUUGGGUACCCUAGGGUUCUGGUCCCAGUUGGUGUGCACGUUUGUUUCUGCUGGAAUUUUGUCAUUCUCCACAGUUGUUACCGGGAAGGUUACAUCACCCUUUACAUUCUACACAACUGCUGCUGGCGUUGCUGCAGCUUUUAUUUCAGUCUUCUGGUCAUUUGGCUACAUCCGUCUUUCUGAAAGACUUCGGAAAACAGCAAGCGCACCCGCAAAGAUAUACUUCAGAUAUGGUUUUCUUUCAGAUUCGAAUAUUAAACUGUGGACUGAUUUCCAGGCUCCUCCACGGGCUGAUGUGAUUAAAAGUCUGAAAAAUGGCAUUGUGCUCAAUAUUCUUGGGAUGGGCGCAGCUGUUCUCGGUAUGCAGGCACUUGUUGGUGCUUUGGUAGCAAAAGCCCUUACUACCUCCGCAGUCCCCUAUUAUCAGGCAACUUCCGCCGGCCAAAGUCCUGUUUUGGCUCUAGAUGUAUUCCUGGUUCAGGCCUCAGCAAACACCAUACUGUCGCAUUUCCUAGGUGUGGCGACUUCCCUGGAGCUGCUCCGUUCCGUGUCAAUCGCCCCGACCGAGCCUGCUGCGACAUGA